ACGGCUCAGUAACACGUAGUCAACAUGCCCAGGGGACGUGGAUAACCUCGGGAAACUGAGGAUAAACCGCGAUAGGCCAAGGUNUCUGGAAUGGAUCAUGGCUGAAACCUAUAUGGCCCCUGGAUUGGACUGCGGCCGAUCAGGCUGUUGGUGAGGUAAUGGCCCACCAAACCUGUAACCGGUACGGGCUCCGAGAGGAGGAGCCCGGAGAUGGGCACUGAGACAAGGGCCCAGGCCCUAUGGGGCGCAGCAGGCGCGAAACCUCUGCAAUAGGCGAAAGCUUGACAGGGUUACUCUGAGUGAUGUCCGCUAAGGGCAUCUUUUGGCACUUCUAAAAAUAGUGUAGAAUAAGGGGUGGGCAAGUCUGGUGUCAGCCGCCGCGGUAAUACCAGCACCCCGAGUGGUCGGGACGAUUAUUGGGCCUAAAGCAUCCGUAGCCGGUUCUGCAAGUCUUCCGUUAAAUCCACCUGCUCAACAGAUGGGCUGCGGAGGAUACUACAGGGCUAGGAGGCGGGAGAGGCAAGCGGUACUCAGUGGGUAGGGGUAAAAUCCUCUGAUCCACUGAAGACCACCAGUGGCGAAGGCGGCUUGCCAGAACGCGCUCGACGGUGAGGGAUGAAAGCUGGGGGAGCAAACCGGAUUAGAUACCCGGGUAGUCCCAGCUGUAAACGAUGCAGACUCGGUGAUGGGUUGGCUUCGAGCCAACCCAGUGCCGCAGGGAAGCCGUUAAGUCUGCCGCCUGGGGAGUACGGUCGCAAGACUGAAACUUAAAGGAAUUGGCGGGGGAGCAC
This 791-nucleotide ribosomal RNA is filed under the name uncultured Nitrososphaera sp. Its description in RNAcentral is "bacterial SSU rRNA". It matches the Rfam family "Archaeal small subunit ribosomal RNA", at positions 85 to 879 of the family's 1478-position model. Lineage: Archaea; Thermoproteati; Nitrososphaerota; Nitrososphaeria; Nitrososphaerales; Nitrososphaeraceae. The record is from RNAcentral.